CCUACGUGCAGCAGCAGUGGGGAAUAUUGGGCCAUGGGCGCAAGCCUGACCCAGCAACGCCGCGUGAAGGAAGACGGCUUUCUGGUUGUACACUUCUUUUAUUGAGGACGAAACACAUGACGGUACUCAAUGACUACGCCACGGCUAACUACGUGCCAGCAGCCGCGGUACUACGUAGGUGGCAAGCGUUAUCCGGAUUUCCUGGGUGGAACGGUCGUGUAGGCGGGACUGCAAGUCAGAUGUGAAACCCAUGGGCUCAAACCAUGGCCUGCAGUUGAACCUGUAGUUCUUGAGUGAUGGAGAGGCAGGCGGAAUUCCGUGUGUAGCGGUGAAAUGCGUAGAUAUACGGAGGAACACCAGUGGCGAAGGCGGCCUGCUGGACAGUAACUGACGCUGAGGCGCGAAAGCGUGGGGAGCAAACAGGAUUAGAUACCCGAGUAGUC
Molecule: ribosomal RNA, 443 nt
Filed under: uncultured bacterium
Lineage: Bacteria
Description: partial 16S ribosomal RNA
Rfam family: Bacterial small subunit ribosomal RNA
Source: RNAcentral